RNAcentral lists this ribosomal RNA (475 nucleotides) under Heterosigma akashiwo. RNAcentral's name for it is "partial Bacterial small subunit ribosomal RNA". It matches the Rfam family "Bacterial small subunit ribosomal RNA", at positions 332 to 818 of the family's 1533-position model. Lineage: Eukaryota; Raphidophyceae; Chattonellales; Chattonellaceae. The record is from RNAcentral.
CAGACUCCUACGGGAGGCAGCAGUGGGGAAUAUUGCACAAUGGGCGAAAGCCUGAUGCAGCGACGCCGCGUGAGGGAUGACGGCCUUCGGGUUGUAAACCUCUUUCAGCAGGGAAGAAGCGAAAGUGACGGUACCUGCAGAAGAAGCACCGGCUAACUACGUGCCAGCAGCCGCGGUAAUACGUAGGGUGCGAGCGUUGUCCGGAAUUACUGGGCGUAAAGGGCUCGUAGGUGGUUUGUCGCGUCGUCUGUGAAAUUCCGGGGCUUAACUCCGGGCGUGCAGGCGAUACGGGCAUAACUUGAGUACUGUAGGGGUAACUGGAAUUCCUGGUGUAGCGGUGAAAUGCGCAGAUAUCAGGAGGAACACCGAUGGCGAAGGCAGGUCUCUGGGCUGUAACUGACGCUGAGGAGCGAAAGCAUGGGGAGCGAACAGGAUUAGAUACCCUGGUAGUCCACGCUGUAAACGCUGUCGAUUU